GACGAACGCUGGCGGCGUGCUUAACACAUGCAAGUCGAACGGAAAGGCCCUGCUUUUGUGGGGUGCUCGAGUGGCGAACGGGUGAGUAACACGUGAGUAACCUGCCCUUGACUUUGGGAUAACUUCAGGAAACUGGGGCUAAUACCGGAUAGGAGCUCCUGCUGCAUGGUGGGGGUUGGAAAGUUUCGGCGGUUGGGGAUGGACUCGCGGCUUAUCAGCUUGUUGGUGGGGUAGUGGCUUACCAAGGCUUUGGCGGGUAGCCGGCCUGAGAGGGUGAACGGCCACCUUGGGACUGAGAGACGGCGCAGACUCCUACGGGAGGCAGCAGUGGGGAAUAUUGCACAAUGGGCGGGAGCCUGAUGAAGCAACGCCGCGUGCGGGAUGACGGCCUUCGGGUUGUAAACCGCUUUAGCCUGUGACGAAGCGUGAGUGACGGUAAUGGGUAAAGAAGCACCGGCUAACUACGUG
Molecule: ribosomal RNA, 468 nt
Filed under: uncultured bacterium
Lineage: Bacteria
Description: partial 16S ribosomal RNA
Rfam family: Bacterial small subunit ribosomal RNA
Source: RNAcentral